AUGAACGCUGGCGGCGUGCUUCACCCCUGCCAGUCGAACGGAAAGGCUCCUGCUUGCCGGGGUACUCGAGUGGCGAACGGGUGAGUAACACGUGGGUGAUCUGCCCUGCACUUCGGGAUAAGCCUGGGAAACUGGGUCUAAUACCGGAUAGGACGAUGGUUUGGAUGCCAUUGUGGAAAGUUUUUCGGUGUGGGAUGAGCUCGCGGCCUAUCAGCUUGUUGGUGGGGUAAUGGCCUACCAAGGCGUCGACGGGUAGCCGGCCUGAGAGGGUGUGCGGCCACAUUGGGACUGAGAUACGGCCCAGACUCCUACGGGAGGCAGCAGUGGGGAAUAUUGCACAAUGGGCGCAAGCCUGAUGCAGCGACGCCGCGUGGGGGAUGACGGCCUUCGGGUUGGAAACUCCUUUCGCUAGGGACGAAGCGUUUUGUGACGGUACCUGGAGAAGAAGCACCGGCUAACUACGUG
This 465-nucleotide ribosomal RNA is filed under the name uncultured bacterium. RNAcentral's name for it is "partial 16S ribosomal RNA". It matches the Rfam family "Bacterial small subunit ribosomal RNA", at positions 29 to 507 of the family's 1533-position model. The record is from RNAcentral.